Molecule: ribosomal RNA, 211 nt
Filed under: uncultured Latescibacterota bacterium
Lineage: Bacteria; Pseudomonadati; Candidatus Latescibacterota
Description: uncultured Latescibacteria bacterium partial 16S ribosomal RNA
Rfam family: Bacterial small subunit ribosomal RNA
Source: RNAcentral
CGGGGAUGACGUCAAGUCCUCGAUGGCCCUUACAUCCCGGGCUACACACGUGCUACAAUGGCAGGUACAGAGGGCUGCGAAGCCGCGAGGUGGAGCGAAUCCCAGAAAACCUGUCUCAGUCCGGAUUGAAGUCUGCAACUCGACUUCAUGAAGGCGGAAUCGCUAGUAACCGCGAAUCAGCAGGUCGCGGUGAAUACGUUCCCGGGCCUUC